UUCUCCUACGGGAGGCAGUAGUGGGGAAUAUUGCACAAUGGGGGAAACCCUGAUGCAGCGACGCCGCGUGGGCGAGGAAGUACCUCGGUAUGUAAAGCCCUAUCAGCAGGGAAGAAACAGGACAGUACCUGACUAGGAAGCCCCGGCUAACUACGUGCCAGCAGCCGCGGUAAUACGUAGGGGGCAAGCGUUAUCCGGAUUCACUGGGCGUAAAGGGAGCGCAGGCGGCAUGGCAAGUCUGAUGUGAAAGCCCGGGGCUCAACCCCGGGACUGCAUUGGAAACUACCGAACUAGAGUGUCGGAGG
Molecule: ribosomal RNA, 305 nt
Filed under: uncultured bacterium
Lineage: Bacteria
Description: bacterial SSU rRNA
Rfam family: Bacterial small subunit ribosomal RNA
Source: RNAcentral